GACCGCCGUGGCUGCUAGCCGACAUCCUCUCUGCCGCUGCAGUCGUAAGCGCCGCCCAAGCCUCCUCCGCGCAACAGCUGCACCCUUGGACCCAUCCCCUGCAUCGCCCCUUGCUGUCCAGCCCUGUUGCCACCCCUGCCACACCCUGCUCCUCCCCUGCCGAUGCAAGUUUUUGUCACGGGCGAGCUUAUCUUCGGACGCCACGAACCGACUCCCUCCAACCUAUAAAAGCCCCUCCCGAGCUCACCUAGUCACCCACGCCAUCCUCGGAAUCCCCCCUACCGAAGAAAUCGGGCCCGUGUGCCCAAUUUCAUCGCCGUCGGUGGCCACUGCCAUGAGGAGCUCUGGUCAAAUCCGCCGCAGCUAGUUCCUCCCGACGCCAAGCUUCUCCUCGUUUAGCCCCCUGGUGGCGAGAGGGAUCUUUUCCCCAUAGCCAUGAGUACCGGAGACUUCGGGCUACAGGGACCUCUAGAAGGCCGACGCCGCCAUCCGUCGGAGCCCGCGUCACCGGCGAUUCCCUCCAUACCCGUGCGUGUGGAGUUCCGGGAGAAUCGCCAGGACCCCCUGAAUCCAUUCCCGUGCCUCUGCGUGCAAGAUCUAUAGCCAGUUGCCGGCGAGGAUCCUUGGAGUGCCGCCCUGGUUCAACCACGGGAGGUAGGGGCAAACCCGACAAGUGGCCCCCACCUGUCGGUGAGCCAACCAAGCCGCCCAGUGGCGCAGCCCACCCGGUGCAUUUUCUUUUCAGCGAAGCGUAUUUUUCCAUAGAUGUCUAUGUAUAUGUGUUUUCCUUGCUAGGAAGCGUAUAUCUGGCCGAAACGUUUUGUUUUCUAAAUUCUUUUAAAAACAUAUUUGACCAGUAUAUUUGACUGGCUCUAACUUUUUAAAUAAAACUCCGUAUGGACUGAUUAUUUUUCCUACCUCUCUCAAAUUUAAUAUAGUGUAUUUUAAGAUUUAUUUCAAAAAUAUUCAAACAACUUUUAUGUGUUGUUUUGGAGUUGCAUGUUGAAUGGUAUUAUUUUUGAAAUACGGAUUUGGAGGGAAGCGAACUGCUUCAAGAUUUUUAGGGUGUACACCACCCGCCUCAACUCCAAAGGCAAGCACCUUGAACUCUGAUUUGUGCUAAGAUGUUUGAUGUUUGUUGUGGUGCAUGGGAAUCUAUGAUUUCAUUAUUUUGAUAGGAACUCUCGCAUAAAAUCAUACUUGCAUGAGUGCAUGUGAUGGAUAAUUAUGUUGCCGAACAUAUAGGAUGCAAACGGUGAGUGGGUAUUUCCUCAUGCGUCGUAUGCCAAGUUGGUCUGGACGACCUCGGAGGAAGGUUAGUAAGGGUGUAUAUGAGACCAUGGGGCUGACAUCUCAUGGGACGAGAGUGGUCAUUAAAGGCUUGUCGGGGAGUGAUGGUAGUAUCACUGAGGUAAUUAUUUCAGGAAGAUUGCCUGGUACUAACCCUUGCAGGAAAUCUUAAACCUCCUAAGUCGACCGUAGACCGAGUCUUGUCUGUGUGUGACCUUACCUUUCAUGCUGCCACAGGUCUUCCCGAAGGGGAAUACAGUUUACUAGGUCGUAAACCUAUUACCAGGUACACACCAAGUAGAGGGGCCGAGAUGAAGGUAUCCAUGGCACUGGACUAAAUCUAGUCAUCCGUUCAGGGGGGCAUGGGUGUUUCCGGUUUGGGACUGAGAGGGAAUGGCCAUUCCAUUGUAGCGCGCGGUAUAAAUUUGAUCCCAUGCUAGUUGAGGUUGGAGUCUCCCCAUCUUAUGGUUUUUCACCGUUAGAGUAGCGCGGGUGAGGCCGGUCUUCGUGGGGGAAAAUGGGUGUGUACUGGUUCUCGGCGUUUACUUAUGAGAUACCGUACACGGGAUUAGUACACGUGACUAUUGAAACCCGUGGGUUGUGGGUAAAGAGUACACCCUCUGCAGAGUCAAAGCUAUUCGAGUAGCCGUAUUCACGGUCAAGCACAACUGGUGGACUAGUCAAGUGUCGGUCUGAGUGUUGGUCUUUGGAGGAAUUAGACUUAAACAGGAUAAUUCGUGUGAACCGGGAUGAUAAGUAUUGCUAUUAUUAUGAAUUCUGUUAUGGACUAAUCCUGUGUGAUAUAAGGAUUUAUUAGAGUGUCCUUGGGACGGUUCUACCUCCAGGGUACUAGAUAUAUCUAUUAUUUUAUUAUGGCCUUUUUGUGGUGUCGCUCAAACGCCCGAUUGUGGCGAGUAUUUAUUUUAUUAUGCCCUUUUUGUGGUGUCGCUUAGACGCGUGACUCUGGCAACUAUUACUACUUUCAUAUAAGCUCUUUAUGUGGUGUUGCUGAGACGCCCGACUGUGCCAUGUAUGCUAUUACUUAUUCAUUCUUACCUUCAUAUAAGCCCUUUUUGUGUUGUCGCUCUAGACGCCCAAUUGUGGCACGAAUAGUAAUUUUCCUUUUACAAGCCCCUUUAUGCUUUGUCGCCGAGAUGCCCGAUUGUGGCUUGUAUUGCAUGUCCUUCCGAUGUGUCGCCUCAGAUGCCCAAUCAACAAGCUUAUAAUUUACUGUUACCAAUCCUUGCUUGCUUAUACAACAUUGGUGGAAAUGGUUUAUCUGCAUGAAUGCAUCCAUGAAUUAAUUCUUAUCGCAUGAUAUAUUUAUUAAGGGAAUUAUGCAUGCAUCUCACCUACUUUAACUUAUCUGUUUUCUAGAUGUUUGCGAGUACAUUCAAAGUACGAACUGGCUUGUCCCUGGCUAUUGUCUUCGCCAGAUUUCAUUGGAGAGGAGCACGAUGUCAUCAACCCCGCGAAUCUAUGAGUCGAGGAUAGCAGCCUUGUGAGAUAGGAACUUAUCCAGGUCAACUAUUCCUGUGGAAAUGGAGUUCAUGGGCACUGGAGAUUCCUCGAGUCGCUUCCGCCGUCAGCCUCAAACUUGGUUCAAACCAGUGGACCUUUAUAGUCUUGUCACCCAAACUUUGUAUUUUUUUCUUGGUAUUUAUGUAUCAAGUGAGUGUCCACUAGCUAACAGAUUCCUGGGGCUAGUGAACAUAAGGGCCUGUUUUCUGGAAAUUGUUUUCCGAAAAAGCAGUCGCCACAACCUUGGUAUCACAGCCAAACUGACCAUUGGUUAAACCUAUCUUAGCCCGGUCGCUAUCCCUAGCCAAGAUAUUUAUAUAUUCGCAACCCAGCGUAGCCUGCCCAUUCACCAACUUAAGUGGCCAUCCGACAUGUUUGGAAGUCGGUGCCCAACAUGUCAGCCCGUGUUUAAGUUGUGUGACUGUGGGGACCCCGACUUACUAGUCGAGAAUCGCCGUGCUCAAUGAUCCCAGAGAUCCAUGCUCACCGAACAUAGAUGCCGAAUAAAAGAGUCUUACAUCCAUCCAUAUCGUUUGAUACAACAAAUGACCACUUCAGUCGAGUCUUACAUAAAUAGGGCCUUAAAGGCCUACACUUGAAACCGAACCAAUAGN
Molecule: long non-coding RNA, 3425 nt
Filed under: Hordeum vulgare
Lineage: Eukaryota; Viridiplantae; Streptophyta; Magnoliopsida; Poales; Poaceae
Description: long non-coding RNA (HVUL_LNC015671)
Source: RNAcentral